Molecule: ribosomal RNA, 403 nt
Filed under: bacterium
Lineage: Bacteria
Description: partial 16S ribosomal RNA
Rfam family: Bacterial small subunit ribosomal RNA
Source: RNAcentral
UGGGGAAUAUUGCACAAUGGAGGGAACUCUGAUGCAGCGACGCCGCGUGAACGAAGAAGGCUUUCGAGUCGUAAAGUUCUUUUAUAUGGGAAGAUAAUGACGGUACCAUAAGAAAAAGCCCCGGCUAACUACGUGCCAGCAGCCGCGGUAAUACGUAGGGGGCUAGCGUUGUCCGGAAUCACUGGGCGUAAAGGGUUCGCAGGCGGAAAUGCAAGUCAGGUGUAAAAGGCAGUAGCUUAACUACUGUAAGCAUUUGAAACUGCAUAUCUUGAGAAGAGUAGAGGUAAGUGGAAUUUUUAGUGUAGCGGUGAAAUGCGUAGAUAUUAAAAAGAAUACCGGUGGCGAAGGCGGCUUACUGGGCUCAUUCUGACGCUGAGGAGCGAAAGCGUGGGUAGCAAACAGG